GGCCUCCUGAUGCUUACCGCAGGCUGUGUUCUCACACUGACUGUAUGGAAAAAGGCUGUAGAGUAAACCCACCCCAUGUACACCUCAGCUCAGGCCCUGUGCCUGGUCUGUACUGUGAAUGGGGAAACAUAG
Molecule: small nucleolar RNA, 132 nt
Filed under: Aotus nancymaae (Ma's night monkey)
Lineage: Eukaryota; Metazoa; Chordata; Mammalia; Primates; Aotidae
Description: Small nucleolar RNA SNORA51 (ENSANAG00000007696.1)
Rfam family: Small nucleolar RNA SNORA51
About the family: ACA51 is a member of the H/ACA class of snoRNA that guide the sites of modification of uridines to pseudouridines.
Source: Rfam by way of RNAcentral